This is a long non-coding RNA of Myxocyprinus asiaticus (Chinese sucker), 1899 nucleotides long. RefSeq lists it as uncharacterized. The record is from RefSeq and is a predicted model, not a curated record. Lineage: Eukaryota; Metazoa; Chordata; Actinopteri; Cypriniformes; Catostomidae. The transcript is spliced from 3 exons.
CAUGCGCACAGAACGUUUAGUAAAGGCGUAAAGCAAGUUGCAAGCGUUCAAAUAAAUUGCAUGCGCACAGAAUGUUUAGUAAAGGCGUAAAGCACAGAAUGUUUAGUAAAGGCGUAAAGCACAGAAUGUUUAGUAAAGGCGUAAAGCACAGAAUGUUUAGUAAAGGCGUAAAGCAAGUUGCAAGCGUUCAAAUAAAUUGCAUGCGCACAGAACGUUUAGUAAAGGUGUAAAGCAAGUUGCAAGCGUUCAAAUAAAUUGCAUGCGCACAACGUUUAGUAAAGGCGUAAAGCACAGAACGUUUAGUAAAGGCGUAAAGCAAGUUGCAAGCGUUCAAAUAAAUUGCAUGCGCACAGAACGUUUAGUAAAGGUGUAAAGCAAGUUGCAAGCGUUCAAAUAAAUUGCAUGCGCACAGAACGUUUAGUAAAGGCGUAAAGCAAGUUGCAAGCGUUCAAAUAAAUUGCAUGCGCACAGAACGUUUAGUAAAGGCGUAAAGCACAGAAUGUUUAGUAAAGGCGUAAAGCAAGUUGCAAGCGUUCAAAUAAAUUGCAUGCGCACAGAACGUUUAGUAAAGGUGUAAAGCAAGUUGCAAGCGUUCAAAUAAAUUGCAUGCGCACAGAACGUUUAGUAAAGGCGUAAAGCAAGUUGCAAGCGUUCAAAUAAAUUGCAUGCGCACAGAACGUUUAGUAAAGGCGUAAAGCAAGUUGCAAGCGUUCAAAUAAAUUGCAUGCGCACAGAACGUUUAGUAAAGGUGUAAAGCAAGUUGCAAGCGUUCAAAUAAAUUGCAUGCGCACAGAACGUUUAGUAAAGGCGUAAAGCAAGUUGCAAGCGUUCAAAUAAAUUGCAUGCGCACAGAACGUUUAGUAAAGGUGUAAAGCAAGUUGCAAGCGUUCAAAUAAAUUGCAUGCGCACAGAACGUUUAGUAAAGGCGUAAAGCAAGUUGCAAGCGUUCAAAUAAAUUGCAUGCGCACAGAACGUUUAGUAAAGGUGUAAAGCAAGUUGCAAGCAUAAGAAACAAAUAUUAGCCAUACAGUCAAGUGUUGUGAAUCUGUAAUUUCGUAUUAACAGAGUAAAUGUUGUUUGUAUUCUUCUGACUUCCUUUUUUCACGCUUACACUUUUGGCUCUGUUCUUGUACCUAAACUUUCCAAAAACAUUGCAAACCUGCAACAGCGAUAUGCAAGUAAAGAAAGGGUGUCAUGAACAGCAAAACAGACUGACCAUGUAGAAUCAGUCUGUAUGUGUAAAAUAAACUAUUGCAAACGUGUAAAUAACUUGUGUUUGUGGCAUAAAUAUUUUCAGAAAUAAUCCGAUGUACACUGUUCCGUCUUCCCUUUGUUGCACUCACACUUUUGGGAUGAAUUUCUCACUGAGAAGAGUUUUGCAAGUGCGGGAGGGAAGGCGGGUCUACCUGCUUCUUGAAAACCAAUCAAAUUAGGUUUUUCUUGACCAGUUUACUCUGAUCUGAUUGGUUUAACAACGUGACAGACAGUUUAUUCUUCAUAUGGCUCAGUGUCGUUCUUCUGGGUAUCUCUCCUCUCUUAAAUAUUAAACUGAAAUAUGAACACAUGCAUGUUCUUAUUUUGAGAGUAAAGUUGAGCUGACACCUUUUAUUGAUAUAAAUAUGAUUCUCAAUCUAGUGUUCAAAUGUUUCUUGUUGCUGUUCAUUAUUUUAAUUAUAAUUUAAUUACUUUCGAUUAUCAUUGGGAUGGCAGAUGGAUGGAUGGAACUUGCUGGUGUCAUUGGAAGAGUCCAGCGUAUUUACAUGACAGUAGCAUUUAAAUCUGAAAUCAAUGAUACCAAGAGAAUUGAAAAGUAAUUCAUAGAAAAUGUGUGUAGACUUUGAAUUUCUGUCUAUCUAAAAGUAAUGAUUAGUCCAUAAUUCGGAGUAUCGUUCACAGUAA